This 319-nucleotide ribosomal RNA is filed under the name uncultured eukaryote. RNAcentral's name for it is "partial 18S ribosomal RNA". It matches the Rfam family "Eukaryotic small subunit ribosomal RNA", at positions 1470 to 1796 of the family's 1831-position model. The record is from RNAcentral.
CCCCUAGACGUUCUGGGCUGCACGCGCGCUACAAUAAUACGCACAGCGAGUAUCACCGAGCUCGAAAGGGCAAGGUAAACAAUAGAAAAGGUACUGUAAUGGUUAUAGAUCCUUGUAAUUAUUGAUCUUCAACGAGGAAUUCCUAGUAAGUAUGUGUCAUCAUCACGCACUGAUUACGUCCCUGCCCUUUGUACACACCGCCCGUCGCCCCUACCGAUUGAGUGCUCCGGUGAACAAUUUGGACUGCUUUGAUUCGAUUAGAAUUUGAAGCGGAAAGUUUAGUGAACCUUAUCACUUAGAGGAAGGAGAAGUCGUAACA